Long non-coding RNA from Triticum urartu, 1262 nucleotides. RefSeq lists it as uncharacterized. Lineage: Eukaryota; Viridiplantae; Streptophyta; Magnoliopsida; Poales; Poaceae. The record is from RefSeq and is a predicted model, not a curated record.
UCCUCCUUUUUCACCCGCGAAGAGCCACUGCCUACCCCGCAUCUUUCUUCUGCCCCGAUUCAACCGGCUCUCUUCUCCCCAAGAUUACAGCCCCGAUUGGAACGACUGGCGGCGGCAGAUCGGGGGAGGUCACCCUACAGGCCGAGCUCGGAUCCACCCAAACAUCCAGCCCCGCGAGCACCCGGCCCUCUUCUCCCCCAACUGCAGCGACCCGUGACGCCAGAUUGAAGGAGGCUACCCCGCCGCCGAGGUUGGACCCACCGCAUCAACCCGCCCAGUGAGCACCCGGCUCUCUUUUCCCCAGCGACCGACGACUUUUCGCUCUAGGAAGGGGCUUUGAGAGAUGAAGAGGAAGCCACUCUUGCUAUGUCCAAAGCAAUGGUAAUAUAUCGUGUGGACUUACAUCUUGAAUAAUGUGUACAUCAGUGUGCAUUCACUGGCUUUAAUUAGGUCUUAUGUUUCCACUUUCAGCAAAAUUGAAAACGGCAAGUACAAUAAUCAGGAGCCAAGUCCCAUUGAGUUUUUCAAAGAGACCCAUACUAACAGCAUGAGCGAGCCGACACAUCUAGCUUAUAAUGCAAUGGAAAAGAAAAGGGAAACACAAUCAGAAGUGACAACCAGUGUUUGAUUCAAUGAUUGUGGCUGAAGUUCUAAAGGAAGAAAACGCCCAUAGCACCUUCCUUUCCAGCAUGAGUUAUGCAUCAAGAUCCGGGAGAUUUGGGAACUCUAAUUCAUCAGCAAGGAUCUGAGUUCUAGAAGAAAGAAUUGAGCAAAAGGAUAAAGAGGCGAGAGAUGCAAAUGACAGGCACUGAGAGGAGUUAGUGGUGAGACUUGAAGCACAGGCGAGAGAAUUUGAAGAGGUGUAGAGGAAGCAACACGAAUAAUUGGAAGAUGUGAAGAAGAUCGAGCAAGAGAAGAAUGAAGCCUGGCAAAAGAAGCAACAAGAGACGGAUAUCCUGAUUGGUUUUCUCUUAAGGGCUCAAGCAACUCAGCAAGCAACUUAGCAGUCCUAAUCCAAACUUAAUGGUGCAUGAAGGCCAUCCUUUUGCGAUGGAAAGAUAGUUGUUGAAUCAUACAUUGCAAUCAUCAGGAUAACACAUGUGGUCUUUACUUAUCUAAAUAUUGCUUUUCAACUUGUCUAUUCUUCUGUCAAACUCGUGAGUCAGUGUUAAUUUUUACUAUGAAACACAAGAGGACGAAUUGGCUGAGACGAUUAAAUAUAUAACAUCAUAAAUUUAUGAUGUGAUUUGGAUCUUAACUUA